RNAcentral lists this ribosomal RNA (160 nucleotides) under Paenibacillus sp. 2003_NPK(20). RNAcentral's name for it is "partial 16S ribosomal RNA". It matches the Rfam family "Bacterial small subunit ribosomal RNA", at positions 355 to 507 of the family's 1533-position model. Lineage: Bacteria; Bacillati; Bacillota; Bacilli; Caryophanales; Paenibacillaceae. The record is from RNAcentral.
UAGGGAAUCUUCCGCAAUGGACGAAAGUCUGACGGAGCAACGCCGCGUGAGUGAUGAAGGUUUUCGGAUCGUAAAGCUCUGUUGCCAGGGAAGAAUGCUUGGGAGAGUAACUGCUCUCAAGGUGACGGUACCUGAGAAGAAAGCCCCGGCUAACUACGUG